This is a long non-coding RNA of Pelodiscus sinensis (Chinese soft-shelled turtle), 1120 nucleotides long. RefSeq lists it as uncharacterized. NCBI's taxonomy places the organism in Eukaryota, Metazoa, Chordata, Testudines, Trionychidae. The record is from RefSeq and is a predicted model, not a curated record.
CUCUCUCCAAGAAUGGACUUCUUACAAGGUACCUCGGCUUCAUUCAAUGCAUAGGAUGGAUGGUGUUCAUGGGAAAAAAAAUCCAGAGGAGUGUAGUGAAGGAGAAGUUUGACCAGGAUUUCCUCUUCAUUUGACCUAAAAGUUGGAAGUCUGAAAAAUGAGGAAAUGAAGAAGGGAGCAGUUGGCAGGAGACUACAGAGUUAGUAGAAGGUUGGAUAAAAUCUGGCGGAUACAAGUGGCAGAUGGACAAAAUAUUUUUGUUCCUGGGCCGAUCUUUGAACUAUGGAAAUUUUCCCUGAGAAUCUACAACUACUUUCUGGAAGGUGUGGGAUAGGGUCUGCCAAGAACUACUCACCGUGUUGGACCUCAGGAUUGUAGAGGAAUCCCCUAGUGCAGCGUUUCUCACACUGGGGGUCCCACCCCAAAAGGGGAUGGCAAGGUGAGUGCAGAAGGGACACUUGUAGGGUCACCAUACAUUUGGGCUUUCUCAGACAUGACCUCUUCACUUCUGUGCCACCUUCAUGGCAGGGCUACACUGGGUUCCACCCUCAUUUCUGCCCUGUCUCUCACGGUGGCUGUGAUCUCCCCAUCAAGAAUGGCCAGAUAGGGGAAAGGGAACUCCUGUCCCUGUCCAGGCUGGCUAAACUAGCAGCUGGGAACCCCAGACUCGUAGCAGCAAGGGGAGAUCAGAUUUUACAUGCAGGGCAGAUUUCACAGCUUGUGACACAUUUUUCAUGGCUGAGAAAUUGGUAGGGCCCUACUCAUAGAGUCUCAGGGACUUUUUUCCCCAUAGUGGUCUGCACUGGAUGGUAGUCUCCAUUAGAAUGGUCUGGCCAUGCUUUGAAAACCAAGGGGAGAUCUUUGAUUCAUUGUUUUGCUGCUUCUUUUCAGUCCAGCAUCAUGGAUUAAGGGUACUGGCAGCUCAAACUCAGGUUUUGGUGAAAAGCAUGAUGAGGAGGCCCUCUUGGUCUUUUCAAGUCUUCUGUAGGUCCACAUAGUACAGCCUCUGUCUUGUUUCUCUUCCGUACAUGGCAGAUUUCAUCAGCAGCUGCCCUUGCCCUAUUCGUAACCUUAAAUUAUCUUUGCCACUUGGCCAGGAGAUUGGACUUCAAGGUUGGUA